GCCUUGGGACAUGAAUUCUCCUGACAAGCUGUAUACUUCAUUAAAUGGGGAUAUUGAUAACAAAAUAUCUAGUUUACAAACAAACUCAGAGCAGCAAGAUGGUAGACUCGACUCCAAUUCCUUGUCAAAGAAUGCAGCAAACAGUGCAUUUUUCUGCUCAGAAACUAGAAGCACCAGUCCUUCAAAGGAAGUCGCAGCUCCUCCAGAGAGUAGAUUAGAUACAGAACGGAAGCCGUCUGCUCAGGCAACUGGAACCAAUAAUGGUUGUAAUAGCAGAGAGGAGACAAAAUCACAUGUAGAUGCUUCAUGUGUCAGAGAAGACUCAUCAUCCUUCAAGGUUUUCCAGGUUGGUGAUCAAGGUGAGGAUGUCAGGGGGAGUGGUGUUGAGGAGAAAAUGGUGGAUAUAAUGGACACUGAUAGAGAUGAAGCUAAAGUUGAGAGGAACCUCAAUGAAGAUUCCCUGAGGAUGGAUGCAGAAGCUUCCACAGUUAGAGACUUAAAUGUCAAAGGCCUUGACUGCUGGCAGUCAAAUAGCAGAAAACGGUCUUACUUAGAUCUUUGUGAGAUAGCCCCUCAGACUUCUAGUAGCACAGGUCAAAAAAUGCUAUUGGAUACUGUAGACGGAGAGAUUAUUAGCAAGAAGCUGAAAACUGGUUUCUGUGAACAAUAUGGGUGUACCAGUUCGAGAGAGGGAAAUUCAUUGAGUGAAGGUUUUGCUUCACAGAUAUGUGAUUUGGG
This 738-nucleotide unclassified non-coding RNA is filed under the name Hevea brasiliensis (rubber tree). The record is from RNAcentral. Lineage: Eukaryota; Viridiplantae; Streptophyta; Magnoliopsida; Malpighiales; Euphorbiaceae.